Molecule: non-coding RNA, 553 nt
Organism: Salmo salar (Atlantic salmon)
Lineage: Eukaryota; Metazoa; Chordata; Actinopteri; Salmoniformes; Salmonidae
Source: RefSeq, a predicted model, not a curated record
UUGACCUGGCAAGCCUGUCUCUGUCUGAGCAUGAUCACAACAAAAGUAGCUGUGCAGCACGUUUUUUAAUGAAGAGGAGGAUGGUUGUAGACGUUCACAUUCCUGCAAGAAGGCACUGCAGAGGCUAAGAAGACGCAUGGAAACUCUAAAAGAAACAUAAUUCAACUUGUAGGCCAGAUUUGAAAAGGAAAUAAUAAAUCCCGAAGCUCAGAUGUCAGACACCGAGGCUGCCAGUACCUCUGGGUCGAUAGUCCAUGUGUUGGAUGAUGCACUGCCGUUGAUCAGAACAGACAGCGUAUACGAGAGAUGUCAGCGAUUCGGGCUAAACAGCCAAUGACCAAGGGAAAGCUGGGACAAAUGAGAGGCUCACACGGUGUAACGAUCGUCAAAAGGAGUAGACCAAGGUGCAGCGUGGUACGUGUUCAUCUUGAAUUUAUUUUAAUUUAGAACACUUCAACAAAAGAACAAACAAUGACAAACGACCAUCACGUCUUGCAGGCUAUAACGAGCAGUACAAAAAUAAGAUCCCACAACUACAGGUGGGGAAAGGCUG